RNAcentral lists this small RNA (203 nucleotides) under Vigna angularis var. angularis. Its description in RNAcentral is "Non-protein coding transcript". Lineage: Eukaryota; Viridiplantae; Streptophyta; Magnoliopsida; Fabales; Fabaceae. The record is from RNAcentral.
ACUUAAUAGAAUACUAUUCACAUAUUGGUCAUCUAACUGCAAUCCAGAGUCCGCUAACAGCUUGUAACAGUUGAAGAAGCUGUUUGCAAGUUGGAACCACUGCAAGAUUUUAAGCAGGAAACUGUUCGCAUUAGACCUUUCAGUUUUGAUUUUGAGCAACCAUCUUUCACUGAAGAAGAUAUCAAGGAAUUUAUAUGGAGAGA